GCCAGAUAUCGUCCUGAGAAGCUUAUGGAGCACAUUAAACUAUUCUCAACCCGCCUAAACAUUCCCAAACUCAUACGAGCGUGUGAUGAGCAGCAGCACUGGAAGGAGCUUACUUAUCUGUAUAUUCAAUAUGAUGAGUUUGACAAUGCUGCAACCACCAUAAUGAACCACUCCCCAGAAGCAUGGGAUCACAUGCAAUUCAAAGAUGUUGCAGUCAAAGUUGCAAAUGUGGAGCUCUACUAUAAGGCCGUGCACUUCUACCUGCAGGAACAUCCUGAUCUUAUUAAUGAUCUCCUUAAUGUGCUUGCUCUUCGUGUGGACCACACUCGGGUUGUUGACAUAAUG
This 345-nucleotide long non-coding RNA is filed under the name Vitis vinifera (wine grape). RNAcentral's name for it is "long non-coding RNA (VVIN_LNC001767)". The record is from RNAcentral. Lineage: Eukaryota; Viridiplantae; Streptophyta; Magnoliopsida; Vitales; Vitaceae.